This 483-nucleotide ribosomal RNA is filed under the name uncultured bacterium. Its description in RNAcentral is "partial 16S ribosomal RNA". It matches the Rfam family "Bacterial small subunit ribosomal RNA", at positions 30 to 506 of the family's 1533-position model. The record is from RNAcentral.
AUUGAACGCUGGCGGCAGGCCUAACACAUGCAAGUCGAGCGGAUGAAGGGAGCUUGCUCCUGGAUUCAGCGGCGGACGGGUGAGUAAUGCCUAGGAAUCUGCCUGGUAGUGGGGGAUAACGUCCGGAAACGGGCGCUAAUACCGCAUACGUCCUGAGGGAGAAAGUGGGGGAUCUUCGGACCUCACGCUAUCAGAUGAGCCUAGGUCGGAUUAGCUAGUUGGUGGGGUAAAGGCCCACCAAGGCGACGAUCCGUAACUGGUCUGAGAGGAUGAUCAGUCACACUGGAACUGAGACUCGGUCCAGACUCCUACGGGAGGCAGCAGUGGGGAAUAUUGGACAAGGGGCGAAAGCCUGAUCCAGCCAUGCCGCGUGUGUGAAGAAGGUCUGCGGAUUGUAAAGCACUUUAAGUUGGGAGGAAGGGCAGUAAGUUAAUACCUUGCUGUUUUGACGUUACCAACAGAAUAAGCACCGGCUAACUUCGU